This 690-nucleotide ribosomal RNA is filed under the name bacterium SVAL2.36. RNAcentral's name for it is "bacterial SSU rRNA". It matches the Rfam family "Bacterial small subunit ribosomal RNA", at positions 60 to 748 of the family's 1533-position model. The record is from RNAcentral.
AGUCGGACGGGAUUCGGAACUUCGGUUUUGAUGAGAGUGGCGCACGGGUGCGUAACGCGUAUGCAACCUACCUAUUACAGGGGGAUAGCCCGGGGAAACUCGGAUUAAUACCCCAUAGUAUAUUUGAAUGGCAUCAUUUAGAUAUUAAAGAUUUAUCGGUAAUAGAUGGGCAUGCGUAGGAUUAGCUAGUUGGUAAGGUAACGGCUUACCAAGGCUACGAUCCUUAGGGGUUCUGAGAGGAAGGUCCCCCACACUGGUACUGAGAUACGGACCAGACUCCUACGGGAGGCAGCAGUAGGGAAUAUUGGGCAAUGGACGGAAGUCUGACCCAGCCAUGCCGCGUGCAGGAAGACGGCCUUAUGGGUUGUAAACUGCUUUUAUCAGGGAAGAAAAAGGCCAUGCGUGGCAAAUUGCCGGUACCUGAUGAAUAAGCACCGGCUAACUCCGUGCCAGCAGCCGCGGUAAUACGGAGGGUGCAAGCGUUGUCCGGAUUUAUUGGGUUUAAAGGGUGCGUAGGCGGGUUAAUAAGUCAGCGGUGAAAGUCCAGUGCUCAACACUGGAAUUGCCAUUGAUACUGUUAAUCUUGAGUGUCGAUGGGGUACAUGGAAUUUAUGGUGUAGCGGUGAAAUGCAUAGAUACCAUAAGGAACACCGAUAGCGAAGGCAUUGUACUUAUCGAUAACUGACGCUG